Non-coding RNA from Chelonoidis abingdonii (Abingdon island giant tortoise), 1574 nucleotides. The record is from RefSeq and is a predicted model, not a curated record. Lineage: Eukaryota; Metazoa; Chordata; Testudines; Testudinidae.
AAGAGUGAAAGCUCGAAAACUUGUAACUUGCACCAGCAGAAGUUGGUUCAAUAAAAGGUCCCAGCUUCUCUUUCAUGCUGUGAACCAAGGAGUAGAGAGAGACGAUCUCAGAACUUAAACAACCAGGUACUUGAAUUCAGGAACUGUGUCUGUAGACAGGCUGAGUGGCCUCCCUCUGACGCUGACAGGAACUGCUCCCUGCCCUCUGGUGGACGGAGCCAGGUCAGGCCCAACCUUUGCACCAGAAGCAGAGGGGUAGACCAGGAAGUAUAAGAUGUGGGGCUUCCAGCUCAGUUGAGGGAGAGCCAGGGAAGGAGUUGGAUUCCUCUGCCUUACUGCUGACCCUUGAGCCAGAGACCGAGCUGUACCAACCCGUGCCCCUGGAGGAAUACCCUGAGGAACUGCCGAAUACUCUGAGGAGCCUGAGGGCCCGUGAGCAACGAAGCCCUUCGAACAGAUGGGUAUAAUUAAAUAUACAGAUAGAAGUAUGGGAAUGGACGACAGCAUUACUUUAUACUGUUGGUGGAACCCUUUGACUGAAGAAAAGAAAUAUUCAGUAUAAAUAGAUAAAGGCAGCCUGUCGCCAAGGAGAACGGUUCCCAUUCUACUGUAGUGGAGGGAGGCCAUCCAUACUAUACAGCCCCCUCUCUCCAUAGAAUGUUCCACCAAAUUGAAAUCCUCCACCCUACACCACUUAUCCAGCUAGGGGUUCACUUGCAGCACCUUCUGACUUCUAUCUUCCUUUGCUCAUGGGAUAGGAAGGAUCUCAGAGAUUGCUUGGACAUUCUUCUUCAGGGAAUCUGGAAGCGUGCUGAAGUCAUCUAUUAUCUGUGAGGUAUCCAGUGAUGCAGUGUCAUUAUUGUCAUUAUGAACCAUGCCCAAUGGAUUCUUGCCUGUCAACUUUAGGAUGCUUAUCUGAUCUUAGAGUGAGGUCUCAUGUCUUGGCUCUGGGAAGGCAGCACACCAUCCUGUUGACAGCCUGUUCCUUGCAGAGGGUUUAGGACACAUCCCUGUCCUUGGCAUCUCUCACUGGUGAGCUUACGUGGCUCACCACCUAGCACAUGUGGUUUUGUGAAUUGCAUCAUAAGGAGUGUUUAAUUCGGGCUUUGUGGAUUGCAGUGUUGUUCCUGUGAUUGUUCUGGGUGCCUAAAAUUAGGCAUCACAACGUUCAGCAUCACAAUACCUAAGUUCCUUUGUGGAGCUGGGUUGACAGAACUAAUGAAAAUCAACAACUUGCCAAUUAGAAGCAUCCCUAGACAGCUGAGAGUGAAGUGAUAACUCUGGAAACGAACGAAAGUGCAUUGUGAUGAAGAGAUGGGAUACGUGUGCCAGCAGAUAAUGAGUGAUUCUUUGCUCCAAGGGUUUUCAUUGGUUGUCAAAGUGAGUGAGUGAAUGAAACAUUCAAUUAAUGAUUUGGAGAGGUUUUUAUUUUUUCUAUCCUACCCUUGUUUCAGUGAGUUUUGGCUAUCUCACACAGCAACAUUAGGGCCUUGUCUUGAUGGGCAAAAAGGAAGGUGUGUUUCUCCAUCCUGUUUCUUAACAUGAUUGAAAAGGCUCAUCAGAACAGACCCUGA